UACGUAGGUGGCAAGCGUUGUCCGGAUUUACUGGGCGUAAAGAGCGCGCAGGCGGUCGAUUAAGUCGAGUGUGAAAUCCCCCGGCUCAACUGGGGAGGGUCAUUUGAUACUGGACGACUCGAAGGCAGGAGAGGGAAGUGGAAUUCCCGGUGUAGUGGUGAAAUGCGUAGAUAUCGGGAGGAACACCAGUGGCGAAGGCGACUUCCUGGCCUGUUCUUGACGCUGAGGCGCGAAAGCUAGGGGAGCGAACGGG
Molecule: ribosomal RNA, 253 nt
Filed under: uncultured bacterium
Lineage: Bacteria
Description: partial 16S ribosomal RNA
Rfam family: Bacterial small subunit ribosomal RNA
Source: RNAcentral